GACGAACGCUGGCGGCGUGCUUAACACAUGCGAGUCGAACGGAAAGGCCCUGCUUUUGUGGGGUGCUCGAGUGGCGAACGGGUGAGUAACACGUGAGUAACCUGCCCUUGACUUUGGGAUAACUUCAGGAAACUGGGGCUAAUACCGGAUAGGAGCUCCUGCUGCAUGGUGGGGGUUGGAAAGUUUCGGCGGUUGGGGAUGGACUCGCGGCUGAUCAGCUUGUUGGUGGGGUAGUGGCUUACCAAGGCUUUGACGGGUAGCCGGCCUGAGAGGGUGACCGGCCACCUUGGGACUGAGAUACGGCCCAGACUCCUACGGGAGGCAGCAGUGGGGAAUAUUGCACAAUGGGCGGAAGCCUGAUGCAGCAACGCCGCGUGCGGGAUGACGGCCUUCGGGUUGUAAACCGCUUUCGCCUGUGACGAAGCGUGAGUGACGGUAAUGGGUAAAGAAGCACCGGCUAACUACGUG
Molecule: ribosomal RNA, 468 nt
Filed under: uncultured bacterium
Lineage: Bacteria
Description: partial 16S ribosomal RNA
Rfam family: Bacterial small subunit ribosomal RNA
Source: RNAcentral